Molecule: non-coding RNA, 177 nt
Filed under: Peptococcaceae bacterium BRH_c4b
Lineage: Bacteria; Bacillati; Bacillota; Clostridia; Eubacteriales; Peptococcaceae
Description: partial 23S ribosomal RNA
Rfam family: Bacterial large subunit ribosomal RNA
Source: RNAcentral
CCAUAUCCGGGAAGGAUAAGCGCUGAAAGCAUCUAAGCGCGAAACCUGCCUCAAGAUAAGGUUUCCCACUGGAAAACCAGGUAAGACCCCAUGUAGACUACGUGGUAGAUAGGCCGGGAGUGUAAGUCCCGUGAGGGAUUCAGCUGACCGGUACUAAUAGGUCGAGGGCUUGACCUG